RNAcentral lists this ribosomal RNA (513 nucleotides) under uncultured bacterium. RNAcentral's name for it is "partial 16S ribosomal RNA". It matches the Rfam family "Bacterial small subunit ribosomal RNA", at positions 28 to 523 of the family's 1533-position model. The record is from RNAcentral.
GACGAACGCUGGCGGCAUGCCUAAUACAUGCAAGUCGAGCGAACAGAUGAAGUGCUUGCACUUCUGACGUUAGCGGCGAACGGGUGAGUAACACGUAAGGAAUCUACCUAUAAGCGGGGGAUAACAUUCGGAAACGGGUGCUAAUACCGCAUAAUAUCUUCUUCCGCAUGGAAGAAGAUUGAAAGACGGCUCUGCUGUCACUUAUAGAUGACCUUGCGGUGCAUUAGUUAGUUGGUGGGGUAACGGCCUACCAAGACGAUGAUGCAUAGCCGACCGGAGAGGGUGAUCGGCCACAUUGGGACCGAGACCCGGCCCAAACUCCUACGGGAGGCAGCAGUAGGGAAUCUUCCGCAAUGGGCGAAAGCCUGACGGAGCAAUGCCGCGUGAGUGAAGAAGGCCUUCGGGUCGUAAAACUCUGUUAUAAGAGAAGAACAGAUUGUAGAGUAACUGCUACAGUCUUGACGGUAUCUUAUCAGAAAGCCACGGCUAACUACGUGCCAGCCGCCGCGGUAA